CUGCAGGGGUUUUCAUCCACAUUUUCCGACAUGUUGGAUUACAUCGAGACGAGAACCUCUACCAUUCGUGGAUGUAUUAAAAGAACCAUUAAGUCAAAAAGUUGUCCUGCAUGCUGCUCUGUGGUCAGUCCCACCGGGAAAGGUUUACUAAGGUUCUUCCAACCACAACCCUCUCUUGUUCGCUAGAGUUAUCCUAUGAAGUGUGGGUUCUGCGGUUUUCUGAGCUCAAGUCAAGAAGCUCUAUUGAGGCACCAUAGACUACGACACAGAAGAGGAUCUCACUGGCCCUGUAUCUACAGUGACUGUGUGUGUACCUUCAAAACACCUGGCGCGUUAAAAUCUCACCUUACCAGAUCACAUUGCAGGACUGUAAGAAGGCAGGUGACAUCGUCUUUUUUCUGUGAGUUAUGUGAAUUUAAAGAAACUUGUACUGAGCGCACUUUUUUCACUCAUCUGGGACAUCAUUUAAAAAAUCAACACACUGUGCAUUGCCCCUUCCUGCGGUGUGAGUUUAAAACUAACAAUCUUAAAACAUUCAGUUCACACAGAAGCAGAAAGCACAAGAAUGCAAAGGACAUUAGAACUUGUCUAAGAGUGCAUUCUGAAAAUGAAACCUGUGCCAUUGACACUCCUAUCGUUGACCAGCCAAUAGAUGACUUUGUUGAGGUAGAGGCAUCAGAAAGUGGUUCAAGUAACAACGGUGGGGAAGAAUAUGUAGAAGCUGAGACUCUUGAACAUAAAAUUGCAUCUCUUUUUCUGCGUAUGCAAUCAGUAUUGCAUGUCUC
This is a long non-coding RNA of Sander lucioperca (pikeperch), 785 nucleotides long. RefSeq lists it as uncharacterized. The record is from RefSeq and is a predicted model, not a curated record. NCBI's taxonomy places the organism in Eukaryota, Metazoa, Chordata, Actinopteri, Perciformes, Percidae. The transcript is spliced from 3 exons.